Molecule: small nuclear RNA, 161 nt
Organism: Onychostoma macrolepis
Lineage: Eukaryota; Metazoa; Chordata; Actinopteri; Cypriniformes; Cyprinidae
Product: U1 spliceosomal RNA
Exons: 1
Source: RefSeq, a predicted model, not a curated record
AUACUUACCUGGCAGGGGAGACACCAUGAUCAAGAAGGCGGUUCACCCAGGGCGAGGCUCGGCCAUUGCACCGGACGCAGUUGACCCCCGCGAAUUCCCCCAAAUGUGGGAAUCUCGACUGCAUAAUUUAUGGUAGUGGGGAUCAUGCUCGCGCCUCCCUG